UCUCUCUCCCUCUCUCAGGUAGGUGACCAGCCAGCUCCUGCCUCGCUGGAGAGUGGGCCCAGUCUCCCAGGAACCCAGAAAGCUGAAGAGGAGGGGUCUGAGGCAGUUCCAGGUGGGAAAGCUGAUGGGCCCUGGAGGUGGCUGCCUCCUUCCUCUUCUGGGGCUGAGGGGAGGAGGGCUUGGCUGGUGUAGGAUGGAGUGGAGCUGCAUCUCCACCAUGCUUGUGUGGGGUAGCAACCUGGGGGUGAGGCUAGAAUGCUGGGAUGAGGUGAGAAGGGAGCCAAGGUCAGAGGGUGCAGCUGAGGGAAGGACUUCUGGCCCCGAGCGACCAGGAAUUGAACGUGUGUACUGGUCUUGGGGUGAGGAGGUGGAGUCAGGGCAGGAUUAGGAUUCAGCGGUGGACCCCAGCGGUUUAGGAAAGUAAU
This is a long non-coding RNA of Hipposideros armiger (great roundleaf bat), 425 nucleotides long. RefSeq lists it as uncharacterized. The record is from RefSeq and is a predicted model, not a curated record. NCBI's taxonomy places the organism in Eukaryota, Metazoa, Chordata, Mammalia, Chiroptera, Hipposideridae. The transcript has 3 exons.